RNAcentral lists this ribosomal RNA (207 nucleotides) under uncultured bacterium. RNAcentral describes it as "partial 16S ribosomal RNA". It matches the Rfam family "Bacterial small subunit ribosomal RNA", at positions 568 to 774 of the family's 1533-position model. The record is from RNAcentral.
CGUGUAGGCGGUUUGGUAAGUCGGUUGUGAAAUCCCUUGGCUUAACCAAGGAACUGCAUCCGAAACUGUUAAACUAGAGUAUCGGAGGGGGUGGCGGAAUUCCCGGUGUAGAGGUGAAAUUCGUAGAUAUCGGGAGGAACACCUGUGGCGAAGGCGGCCACCUGGAAGAUUACUGACGCUGAGACGCGAAAGCGUGGGGAGCAAACA